GAGUGACUAACCGAGGCCUCGAUUUCGCACAGCCUACACACUGAUGUCAUACGAAAAGGCUAAUAUCUCUGAGGUGUUCUGAGUACAAUGCUUCUGAAACGUAAUCAUUAUAUGUUGAGUAAAGAUGAUGUUUGGGCAUACAGACGGUCCACGGCUAUCUGCCAUUGGAAUGGGCUGUUUAUCUUCUUUGGGAAGUGCCUCGUGUUGAAUGUGACCCUGACUGCAAGAACAGCACUGCAUGAACCAGGUUUUUCUUUUCAAGAGAAAGAAGCAAGGACUUUGGAGGACUCCAUAGUGCAAGGAAUGCAGGUUCUGUAGCAGAAGAGCAAGAGGAAAUGAGGAGGGUCUUUGCUGUUGGCUGUGGCUGUCCCAAACUCUCAGGUACAGUGAUAACAGUGACAUUUCCAGAAGAAGUAGCAGAAAGAUAAGCAGACAGGCAGCAGGAAGCUGGAAAACAUAAAGAGAAGGGGGACUCUCAAGAACGAUGAAGCUGAAAUCCUCGCUUAUGGAGAAUAAUAGUGGUACCUUGACAGUUGUCCGUGCCCGCAGCGCUAUGCGGGAGUGGCUGUCUGACACGGGGUUAAACCUGCGCCUGCCCUGGGCCGUGCCAUGCCGAGCCAUACUCUUGCCUCCUCUGUUCAUCAUUAAA
Pogoniulus pusillus (Red-fronted tinkerbird) is the source of this 649-nucleotide long non-coding RNA. RefSeq lists it as uncharacterized. The transcript has 3 exons. The record is from RefSeq and is a predicted model, not a curated record. Lineage: Eukaryota; Metazoa; Chordata; Aves; Piciformes; Lybiidae.